GUCCCUUUGGCGCAGCGGAUAGCGCGUUGGAAUGAAAAUCCAAAGGUCGUGGGUUCGAUCCCCGCAAGGUAUG
Molecule: non-coding RNA, 73 nt
Organism: Ctenocephalides felis (cat flea)
Lineage: Eukaryota; Metazoa; Arthropoda; Insecta; Siphonaptera; Pulicidae
Source: the annotation of a RefSeq genome assembly